CCUACGGGAGGCAGCAGUGGGGAAUUUUGGACAAUGGGCGAAAGCCUGAUCCAGCAAUGCCGCGUGAGUGAAGAAGGCCUUCGGGUUGUAAAGCUCUUUUGUCAGGGAAGAAACGGUGUGGGCUAAUAUCCUGCACUAAUGACGGUACCUGAAGAAUAAGCACCGGCUAACUACGUGCCAGCAGCCGCGGUAAUACGUAGGGUGCAAGCGUUAAUCGGAAUUACUGGGCGUAAAGCGUGCGCAGGCGGUUUUGUAAGUCUGUCGUGAAAGCCCCGGGCUCAACCUGGGAAUUGCGAUGGAGACUGCAAGGCUUGAAUCUGGCAGAGGGGGGUAGAAUUCCACGUGUAGCAGUGAAAUGCGUAGAGAUGUGGAGGAACACCGAUGGCGAAGGCAGCCCCCUGGGUCAAGAUUGACGCUCAUGCACGAAAGCGUGGGGAGCAAACAGGAUUAGAUACCCUGGUAGUCCACGCCCUAAACGAUGUCUACUAGUUGUCGGGUUUUAAUUAACUUGGUAACGCAGCUAACGCGUGAAGUAGACCGCCUGGGGAGUACGGUCGCAAGNUUAAAACGUUAAGGAAUUGACG
Molecule: ribosomal RNA, 584 nt
Filed under: uncultured bacterium
Lineage: Bacteria
Description: bacterial SSU rRNA
Rfam family: Bacterial small subunit ribosomal RNA
Source: RNAcentral